UUUCUUACUGGGCUAGUUGAGCUCACCCUUUCUUUCACUGUUCUCUUCAGGAAAUGAGAAUAUAGCUGGAACGAGUCAAGGACCGGAGUGAUGGUCUUAGAUGGUGCAUUAGUAGUCCUCACUAUUCUAUGAAAUAGUGUGAUAAUAAUUGUAAUGAGGACUCCUUUUGAGUUUGUAUACUCUCUAGUAGACAAUAUUUGUAUUCAAACUCACAGUUUAUGUUUUGUCGUAUUGUACAUGACAGUUGUAUUAUUAAGUUGUAUUUGAAUUUUGUACCAUGUAUCUGGCGACUCAAGAUGGGUGAUAUAUACCUAAUUUUGG
This 321-nucleotide long non-coding RNA is filed under the name Panax ginseng (ginseng). Its description in RNAcentral is "long non-coding RNA (PGIN_LNC006866)". Lineage: Eukaryota; Viridiplantae; Streptophyta; Magnoliopsida; Apiales; Araliaceae. The record is from RNAcentral.